Molecule: ribosomal RNA, 356 nt
Filed under: uncultured bacterium
Lineage: Bacteria
Description: bacterial SSU rRNA
Rfam family: Bacterial small subunit ribosomal RNA
Source: RNAcentral
GUACUACUCUCAGAGUUUGAUCCUGGCUCAGGAUGAACGCUGGCGGCGUGCUUAACACAUGCAAGUCGAACGGGCGAAUUAUAUCGGAGGUCUUCGGGCCGAAGAGAUAAUAAGCUAGUGGCGGACGGGUGCGUAACGUGUGGGUAAUCUGCCUUUGUCAUAGGAAUAACUGCUUGAAAAAGUAGCUAAUACCAAAUAACAUAUCGUAUAGGCAUCUAUAAGAUAUCAAAGAGAAAUCGGACAAAGAUGAGCCCGCAUCUGAUUAGCUGGUUGGUAGGGUAAAAGCCUACCAAGGCGACGAUCAGUAGCCGGCCUGAGAGGGUGAACGGCCACAUUGGAACUGAGACACGGUCCAA